RNAcentral lists this long non-coding RNA (643 nucleotides) under Helianthus annuus (common sunflower). Its description in RNAcentral is "sRNA HanXRQr2_Chr11g0494191". Lineage: Eukaryota; Viridiplantae; Streptophyta; Magnoliopsida; Asterales; Asteraceae. The record is from RNAcentral.
CCUCAAGUAUAGACAACCAAUCAUACUAACUGAACCGUUCGGAUGCAUCACAUACAUAAUCGAUUAAACAGGUUAACAUCAUACAAACAAUCCGGCCGAUUAAGCAAAUCUGAUUAUAUGUCCGGUUGAUCAAUCAAACAUGUUUGGCCGAUUUGCUAGCCGAUCAACAACAACAUCUAAACAAUCAUGACAAUUCAAUCCAAUUAUAUUUGCUAAACCUACCAUAUCCGAUUCAUAACAACAUACAAGCAACAUCAUGAAAUCAAAGCAUCGUGAAAUCAAAGCAUCGUAAACAACAUCACACACUAACCGGAAAUCUGGAUUACGGAAUGAAAUCCUUCGAACAGGGGAUGGGUCUGCUAUGCCGUCACACACACACAAUAGAACUAGGGUUUUUGAAACUAACUGAUGACUUACAUGCAUUCACGUAUUUAAAUCGUAUCACAGGAAUGGGCCAAGCCCAUUAGAAAGACUGGGCCGAAAGAUGUCGAAGGAUAGAGUCCUUGGUCGAAGGAUAUGUUUCGAGAUCCUUCGAACCGAAAGUUGAUCCUUCGAAUCGAAGGAUAUGUUUCGAGAUCCUUCGAACUGUAUGUCAUGUUUCCAAGUAAUCACAUAUGGGCAAAACGACAAUUCGUUUCAUUAA